This 468-nucleotide ribosomal RNA is filed under the name uncultured bacterium. Its description in RNAcentral is "partial 16S ribosomal RNA". It matches the Rfam family "Bacterial small subunit ribosomal RNA", at positions 28 to 507 of the family's 1533-position model. The record is from RNAcentral.
AACGAACGCUGGCGGCGUGCUUAACACAUGCAAGUCGAACGGAAAGGCCCUGUCUUUCUGCGGUGCUCGAAUUGCGACCGGGUAAGUUACCCUUGAGUACCCUGCCCUCGCCUUUGAGAGAACUUAAUGCAACAGGGGCUCAUACCGGGUAGGAUCUCCUGCUGCAUGGUUAGGGUUCGAAAGUUUCGGCGGUUGGGGAGGUAAUCGCCUCUUAUCCGCUCGUUGGUGGGGUGGUGUCUUACCAAGGCUUUGACGGGUAGCCGGCCUGAGAGGGUGACCGGCCACAUUGGGACUGAGAUACGGCCCAGGCUCCUACGGGAGGGAGCGGUGGGGAGGGGUGAACAAUGGGCGGAAGCCAGAUGCAGCAACGCCGCGUGCGGGAAGACGGCCUGCGGGUUGUAAACCGCUUUCGCCUGUGACGGAGCGGGAGUGACGGUAAUGGGUAAAGAAGCCCCGGCUAACUACGUG